UACGGAGGAUGCAAGCGUUGUCCGGAAUGAUUGGGCGUAAAGCGUCCGCAGGUGGCUGUGUAAGUCUGCUGUUAAAGAGUGAGGCUCAACCUCAUAACGGCAGUGGAAACUACAUGGCUAGAGUGCGGUCGGGGCAGAGGGAAUUCCUGGUGUAGCGGUGAAAUGCGUAGAGAUCAGGAAGAACACCGGUGGCGAAAGCGCUCUGCUGGGCCGCAACUGACACUGAGGGACGAAAGCUAGGGGAGCGAAUGGG
This 253-nucleotide ribosomal RNA is filed under the name uncultured bacterium. RNAcentral describes it as "partial 16S ribosomal RNA". It matches the Rfam family "Bacterial small subunit ribosomal RNA", at positions 524 to 776 of the family's 1533-position model. The record is from RNAcentral.